UGGGGAAUAUUGCACAAUGGAGGGAACUCUGAUGCAGCGACGCCGCGUGAGUGAUGAAGGAAUUCGUUUCGUAAAACUCUGUUCUAUGGGAAGAAAAGGACUGUACCAUAGGAGAAAGCUCCGGCUAAAUACGUGCCAGCAGCCGCGGUAAUACGUAUGGAGCGAGCGUUGUCCGGAAUUAUUGGGCGUAAAGGGUGCGCAGGCGGCUUUACAAGUUGGAUGUGAAAUAUUGUGGCUCAACCACAAACGUGCAUCCAAAACUGCAAAGCUUGAGUUAAGGAGAGGUAAGUGGAAUUCCGGGUGUAGCGGUGGAAUACGUAGAUAUCAGGAGGAAUACCGGUGGCGAAGGCGACUUACUGGACUUAAACUGACGCUCAGGCACGAAAGCGUGGGGAGCAAACAGG
This 404-nucleotide ribosomal RNA is filed under the name Fusobacteriota bacterium. Its description in RNAcentral is "Fusobacteria bacterium partial 16S ribosomal RNA". It matches the Rfam family "Bacterial small subunit ribosomal RNA", at positions 355 to 776 of the family's 1533-position model. The record is from RNAcentral. Lineage: Bacteria; Fusobacteriati; Fusobacteriota.